Dermochelys coriacea (leatherback sea turtle) is the source of this 1491-nucleotide long non-coding RNA. RefSeq lists it as uncharacterized. The record is from RefSeq and is a predicted model, not a curated record. Lineage: Eukaryota; Metazoa; Chordata; Testudines; Dermochelyidae. The transcript has 2 exons.
GAUAGCUCCCCACUGCCUUCUUCCAAGGGCUAGUCAAUUUCAUUUUCUCCCUGCAGGCAGAAAAUGAAAUGGACAAGAGCCUUGCAGGUAAUCUGCCAGAGGCUGGGCGCUGUGAGUGCCUCCCCAGCUCUCAGCCUGCCCAGCUGCCAGUGGCUGAGAGCUCUGUGCUCAGCCUCCCUGUCUCCCCCCAGGCUAGGGCUGAGCACCCCAGCUCUCUGUCUCUUUGGCAGCCCCCCCGGAAGGCUCUUGUCAAGAUCGCUUUCUGAAAACAAAGUUUACAAGAGCCUUCCAGGCAGGCUGCCAGCAAGCUGAAAAAUUCCACUGUUGUUUUCCCCGAAAUUGAGUUUGUCUAGAAAUCCCUUUCUGUGAAAAAUGUUCAUUUUGAGUUUCAUCAUGACCUGGGACAAAACAUUUUUUCAAAAAUUGGAAACUUCUUGCAGGAAGGAAUUCCAACUUCCAGCCAGCUCUACUGAGUUAUCCCUUUUGUGAUCAGCAAUAGCACGUAGCAGCGGUGUGCAGUGCAAUAAAAGGCGAAUUACCAUAUAAUUCCAAUCAACAGAAGAAUCAUUUGCUGUCUUUUUUGACUAUUUGUACCUCACCUUGAUCCUCUCCAUUUAUCUAUCUAAUUAAUUAGCUACUUAAUGCCAGUAACCUGGGAGAUAUGAGCUGGUAUAUUUCCAAUAUGCAAGAGCUGAGCUGUUUCUUAUGAUGGAUUCUGCCAGUACUACCUGAGGAAGAGCUCUGUGUAAGCUUGAAAUCCUGUCUCUUUCACCAACAGAAGUUGGUCCAAUAAAAGAUAUUUACCUCACUCACCCAGCUUGUAUGUCUAAUAGCCUGCGACCAACAGGGGUACAACAACACUACAAAUACUACUUGCCACUGCAAUGUGGCAAAGCAACUUAACUGUAGUAGGUCCUUCUAGUUCUGUCCCUUUUCCAUUCUGAAAUUUGAAGUUCAGAUACUUUCUAGCCAUUCCCUUGACUUGCAGUUUUGUAUCUCAUUAACAUUUCUUCCCUAACUUCUUUUCCUACUCCCUUGCUCUUAUUAACACAUCUCCUUCUAUCCUUCUCCCCCACUACCCUCCCCCGGUCUCUAUCAUUUAAAUUUUUGUAUAAAGAUACAUGAAGGAUAGAAAGGUAAGCAAAUUCUGAAGAAAAAAGUAUUUAAGAUCUUUUAUUGGAAUCAGAACUUCAAAUUUGCUUCACUGGUAUUCAUGAGACCUUUACGUUGCUUCCCAUGAAGAUAUGUACAUGCAAAAUUUUGCUCACAAGAAUGUUAAUUGAAGAGAAGGACUGAAGAAGAUUCACUCAGGAAUAUUCAUGAAAAGUCACUCGGCUUGAAUAGCAGAUUACAAAUAGCAACUACACAACAAACACAGCUGCUAUGACUAACAGUUUGCAAGGAAUCAGAGAUGAAAGUACAUUAGGAUAGAUCAUGUUCAGAAUUAAUUUGAUACAACAAUUUAAGAAGUCAAAAUCUGUCCAGAGAUAU